UACGUAGGGGGCUAGCGUUGUCCGGAUUUAUUGGGCGUAAAGAGCGUGUAGGCGGCCAUGUAGGUCCGGUGUGAAAACUCGAGGCUUAACCUCGAGAUGUCAUCGGAAACCAUUUGGCUAGAGUCCGGAAGAGGAGAGUGGAAUUCCUGGUGUAGCGGUGAAAUGCGUAGAUAUCGAGAGGAAUACCGAUGGCGAAGGCAGGUCUCUGGGCUGACACUGACGCUCAUGCACGAAAGCGUGGGGAGCAAACAGG
This 253-nucleotide ribosomal RNA is filed under the name uncultured bacterium. RNAcentral describes it as "partial 16S ribosomal RNA". It matches the Rfam family "Bacterial small subunit ribosomal RNA", at positions 524 to 776 of the family's 1533-position model. The record is from RNAcentral.